UACGAAGGGUGCAAGCGUUACUCGGAAUUACUGGGCGUAAAGCGUGCGUAGGUGGUUUGUUAAGUCUGUUGUGAAAGCCCCGGGCUCAACCUGGGAAUGGCAAUGGAUACUGGCAGGCUAGAGUGCGGUAGAGGGUAGUGGAAUUCCCGGUGUGGCGGUGAAAUGCGUAGAGAUCCGGAGGAACACCGACGGCGCAGGCAGCGUCCUGGCCGCUUGCUGACACUGAGGCACGAAAGCUGGGGGAGCAAACAGG
This 253-nucleotide ribosomal RNA is filed under the name uncultured bacterium. Its description in RNAcentral is "partial 16S ribosomal RNA". It matches the Rfam family "Bacterial small subunit ribosomal RNA", at positions 524 to 776 of the family's 1533-position model. The record is from RNAcentral.